UUAUAUUCCAAUCCGCUUUGUGAAUUGGCUACGGGAUCACAACCAUCAGCAUCGGUUAGGUUUACAUCUGCAGAUUCCUGUACAGGCAACUGGAAUUUAUAGCCGGCCAUCGAGCAUACUUCUGCGCUACGCAUCAGAACGUUUUAUCGCGACAUCAAAGCAACUCUAGCUGCGUCUUCCUCUGAUGCUAAAACUUGGCCUUAGUUUGCGAACUCG
This 216-nucleotide long non-coding RNA is filed under the name Volvox carteri. Its description in RNAcentral is "long non-coding RNA (VCAR_LNC000798)". Lineage: Eukaryota; Viridiplantae; Chlorophyta; Chlorophyceae; Chlamydomonadales; Volvocaceae. The record is from RNAcentral.